Long non-coding RNA from Onychomys torridus (southern grasshopper mouse), 1866 nucleotides. RefSeq lists it as uncharacterized. Lineage: Eukaryota; Metazoa; Chordata; Mammalia; Rodentia; Cricetidae. The transcript has 3 exons. The record is from RefSeq and is a predicted model, not a curated record.
CACACACACACACACACACACACACACACACCGGCCUAAUGAAUGCUUUUUGUAAGAGCGAAAUGCGAGGGGAUCAGAAAGAAGGGAAUGAUUAACUCUAGAGACAGGAGUCUCGUUCCCAAGGAGCCACUUUGAAGCUGGUUAUUUAGGAUUUCAUCAGGCAGAGGCAAAGUCUGUAGCAUUCCAAGACCAAAAGAAACAACCGCCUGCCUGUGCAGUUGCCAAGCAAACCACACCCUGUUCAGUCCUAUUGUAUCCGCAAGGGCCUAUUUUUAUUCAUUGUCCUCAUAACCACUUUUUAAAACAAAAAGAGAAUGUGGGCUAAGUCCCUUCUUUGAAAUCAGGUAUUUUAUAGGACAAAGAAAGGAGACUCUGAUUGUGGAUUUGUGGAGGUUGACUUCUAGUGAGUCCAGAAUUCCCCCAAGGAGUAGAAACGGAUGCUCUUCCCUUCCCUUUUUCUGAAAACUGCACCGAGGCUGCCUAGUAUGUUGCCAGGGGCCCUCUGAGCUCAGAAGAAAGCAAGAGGGGAUGACACCCCAACCACAGGCACCGCUUUUGUGACAAGCAUGCCCGGACCAGGAAUGAGGGCCCUGCUUCCUCCCUUUGCUGACCUUCAGAUCCCUCUAGGAGAGCAGGCAUCACCCAGCCUCCCUCCCAGACAAGCCCUGCUAGGCCUCUGAGACCAGAGCUUGCAGCUUCUGAGUGGGAGGAAAAAACCUCUCGGGAAAGCAGCCAGGACAGAGGAAAGGCCAGCAGGCACCUACCGAAGGGCACAGGGGUCCCCGUUCUCCCCGUGGCACAUCCACUGGGAAGCAGGGAAGUGGGAAACAGCCUCCCAGCCUCCCACUCUGCACCCUCUUCCUUGUUUUUCCCAGGAAGCCUCUACCUUGCAGACCCUGCCAGAAGGCCCGCGGCAUUUUCAUGAAGCAGUAAUAACAAGGACAGAGCGUUCUAGCCUGCUGGAGCCUGCUGGCUGGUCACUCUUUCCAUUGCCUUUUGUUUUCAUGCAUCGUUCCUCUCACUUGCUUCUCAGAUUCCUCGGGGCUUUGAAAAAGCCACACAGUGACAUCACCCAGCGGGCUGGCAGGCAUCUCUGACAUGCACGCGGCCCGAAGCAUUGACGCGCAUCUAGAGCUUCCAGAAAGGGACCACCUCCUAUCAGCCUAGCUGGCAGAGUGUCUAACACGGUGCCUCAGUGAGUAAGCAGCAAUGAAUCAUUAUGAAGAGUACACCAAGUUCAGAAAUAUGAAAUUGACAAGCUGGUUAUAAAAGUCAUAUGGAAGGAUAGCUCAGAAUAGGCAUAAUAACCUUGAAAAAGAACGAAGAUGGAAGAUGAGUAUUUCCAGUUCAAAACCUACAUAAUCUGACAUAAGAUAUAAGAGUACCUAUAGAAACCAGCAAAAAACUGAUGGUGUCGAGAUAAACCAGCAUAUUAUGGUCAAUUUUAGACAAGGUGCCAAAACAACUUCAUAGGGGAAAUUUGUUGGGUUUUACUUGUUUGUUUGGCUUUAGCACUGGGGUCUGAACCUCAUAUACACUAGGUAAGCACUCUACCACUGAGCUGUUCCCUUGUUCCUCAGCUCUCAUUGUCUAUUUGGACAUGAGGUCUUAAUAAUUAUCCAUGCUGGCUGUGAGCUCAUUCUGUAUCCUGUGCUGGUCUUGACCUUGCAAUUCUCCUGCCUCAGCCUCCCAACUAGCUGGUAUUAUAGGAUUUGUGGUGUGGGCUCAGCUAAAACUAUUUUUUCAAAAAAUGGUGCUAGGACAGCUAAUUAUUUACAUGCAAAAGAGUAAAGUGGGGCUCUCUGCACUAUACUCCUCCCCCACAUUCUAUGCAAAGUACAGUAUGUAUGUGUAAAAAUGUCACAA